Long non-coding RNA from Homo sapiens (human), 663 nucleotides. NCBI's taxonomy places the organism in Eukaryota, Metazoa, Chordata, Mammalia, Primates, Hominidae. The record is from Ensembl.
CACCUGGGUGGCAGUAGUGACCCUGAGUGUGGAUUUGGGCCUGGCUGUGGGUGUGGUCUUCUCCAUGAUGACUGUGGUCUGCCGCACCCGGAGCUCCUCCAGGUCCCGGGGCUCUGCAUCCUGAGCUAUCCAACACCACUGUACUUUGGGACCCGUGGGCAGUUUCGCUGCAACCUGGAGUGGCACCUGGGGCUCGGAGAAGGAGAAAAGGAGACUUCAAAGCCAGAUGGCCCAAUGGUUGCAGUUGCUGAGCCUGUCAGGGUGGUGGUCCUAGACUUCAGUGGUGUCACCUUUGCAGAUGCUGCUGGGGCCAGAGAAGUGGUGCAGCUGGCCAGCCGAUGUCGAGAUGCUAGGAUCCGCCUCCUCCUGGCUCAGUGUAAUGGGUGACUCCAGAUCAGCUGUUUGUGAGUGUGCAGGAUGCAGCUGCUUAUGCCCUGGGGAGCCUGUUAAGGGGCAGUAGCACCAGGAGCGGGAGCCAGGAGGCACUGGGCUGCGGCAAGUGAGGCAGGGGAGCUCACUGACCCAAAGAUUUGCACCGUGUGGGUCUGACCUCAUCAUGUGGAGUGCAGAGGGCCCUGAUGACAUGUGUGUGAUGAGGACCAUGACCCUUGAACCCCCUUACCUAACGUAACUAAUAAAAUGAAGCUGAGAGCUUUGGAAUCC